GACGAACGCUGGCGGCGUGCUUAACACAUGCAAGUCGAACGGAAAGGCCCUGCUUUUGUGGGGUGCUCGAGUGGCGAACGGGUGAGUAACACGUGAGUAACCUGCCCUUGACUUUGGGAUAACUUCAGGAAACUGGGGCUAAUACCGGAUAGGAGCUCCUGCUGCAUGGUGGGGGUUGGAAAGUUUCGGCGGUUGGGGAUGGACUCGCGGCUUAUCAGCUUGUUGGUGGGGUAGUGGCUUACCAAGGCUUUGACGAGUAGCCGGCCUGAGAGGGUGACCGGCCACAUUGGGACUGAGAUACGGCCCAGACUCCUACGGGGGGCAGCAGGGGGGAAUAUUGCACAAUGGGCGGAAGCCUGAUGCAGCAGCGCCGCGUGCGUGAUGACGGCCUUCGGGUUGUAAACCGCUUUCGGCUGUGACGAAGCGUGAGUGACGGUAAUGGGUAAAGAAGCACCGGCUAACUACGUG
This 468-nucleotide ribosomal RNA is filed under the name uncultured bacterium. Its description in RNAcentral is "partial 16S ribosomal RNA". It matches the Rfam family "Bacterial small subunit ribosomal RNA", at positions 28 to 507 of the family's 1533-position model. The record is from RNAcentral.